RNAcentral lists this ribosomal RNA (253 nucleotides) under uncultured bacterium. RNAcentral's name for it is "partial 16S ribosomal RNA". It matches the Rfam family "Bacterial small subunit ribosomal RNA", at positions 524 to 776 of the family's 1533-position model. The record is from RNAcentral.
UACAGAGGGUGCGAGCGUUAAUCGGAUUUACUGGGCGUAAAGCGUGUGUAGGUGGCUUCCUAAGUCGGUUGUGAAAUCCCUGGGCUCAACCUGGGAAUUGCAGUCGAUACUGGGAAGCUCGAGUUCGGUAGAGGACGGCGGAAUUCCCGGUGUGGCGGUGAAAUGCGUAGAUAUCGGGAGGAACAUCGAUGGCGAAAGCAACCGUCUGGGCCUGAACUGACACUGAGACACGAAAGCGUGGGGAGCAAACAGG